This 233-nucleotide ribosomal RNA is filed under the name uncultured bacterium. Its description in RNAcentral is "partial 16S rRNA". It matches the Rfam family "Bacterial small subunit ribosomal RNA", at positions 505 to 737 of the family's 1533-position model. The record is from RNAcentral.
GUGCCAGCCGCCGCGGUAAUACGUAGGUGGCAAGCGUUAUCCGGAAUUAUUGGGCGUAAAGCGCGCGCAGGUGGUUUCUUAAGUCUGAUGUGAAAGCCCACGGCUCAACCGUGGAGGGUCAUUGGAUACUGGGAGACUUGAGUGCAGAAGAGGAAAGUGGAAUUCCAUGUGUAGCGGUGAAAUACGUAGAGAUAGGGAGGAACACCAGUGGCGUAGGCGUGUUUCUGGUCUGU